UGGGGAAUCUUGCGCAAUGGGCGAAAGCCUGACGCAGCGACGCCGCGUGGGGGAAGAAGGCUUUCGGGUUGUAAACCCCUUUCAGGAGGGACGAAGCUACUCGGGUUAAUAGCCCAGAGGGUGACGGUACCUCCAGAAGAAGCCCCGGCUAACUACGUGCCAGCAGCCGCGGUAAUACGUAGGGGGCAAGCGUUGUCCGGAUUUAUUGGGCGUAAAGAGCGUGUAGGCGGCCAGACAGGUCCGUUGUGAAAACUCGAGGCUCAACCUCGAGACGCCGAUGGAAACCGUUUGGCUAGAGUCCGGAAGAGGAGAGUGGAAUUCCUGGUGUAGCGGUGAAAUGCGCAGAUAUCAGGAAGAACACCCGUGGCUAAGGCGGCUCUCUAGUACGGUACUGACGCUGAGACGCGAAAGCGUGGGGAGCGAACAGGAUUAGAUACCCCGGUAGUCC
RNAcentral lists this ribosomal RNA (448 nucleotides) under uncultured bacterium. RNAcentral describes it as "bacterial SSU rRNA". It matches the Rfam family "Bacterial small subunit ribosomal RNA", at positions 355 to 796 of the family's 1533-position model. The record is from RNAcentral.